This 36-nucleotide transfer RNA is filed under the name Dunaliella tertiolecta. Its description in RNAcentral is "partial Selenocysteine transfer RNA". The record is from RNAcentral. Lineage: Eukaryota; Viridiplantae; Chlorophyta; Chlorophyceae; Chlamydomonadales; Dunaliellaceae.
CAAAUGCCAACACUUAUUGGCAUUCGCUUGGUGGUU